This 446-nucleotide ribosomal RNA is filed under the name uncultured organism. Its description in RNAcentral is "partial 16S ribosomal RNA". It matches the Rfam family "Bacterial small subunit ribosomal RNA", at positions 334 to 797 of the family's 1533-position model. The record is from RNAcentral.
CACUCCUGCGGGAGGCAGCAGUGGGGAAUAUUGGACAAUGGGCGCAAGCCUGAUCCAGCCAUGCCGCGUGAGUGAUGAAGGCCCUAGGGUUGUAAAGCUCUUUCACCGGUGAAGAUAAUGACGGUAACCGGAGAAGAAGCCCCGGCUAACUUCGUGCCAGCAGCCGCGGUAAUACGAAGGCCGCUAGCGUUGUUCGGAUUUACUGGGCGUAAAGCGCACGUAGGCGGACUAUUAAGUCAGGGGUGAAAUCCCGGGGCUCAACCCCGGAACUGCCUUUGAUACUGGUAGUCUUGAGUUCGAGAGAGGUUAGUGGAAUUCCGAGUGUAGAGGUGAAAUUCGUAGAUAUUCGGAGGAACACCAGUGGCGAAGGCGGCUCACUGGCUCGAUACUGACGCUGAGGUGCGAAAGCGUGGGGAGCAAACAGGAUUAGAUACCCCGGUAGUCCC